UUCCAGACUCCUACGGGAGGCAGCAGUGGGGAAUAUUGCACAAUGGGGGAAACCCUGAUGCAGCGACGCCGCGUGAGCGAUGAAGUAUUUCGGUAUGUAAAGCUCUAUCAGCAGGGAAGAAGAUGACGGUACCUGACUAAGAAGCCCCGGCUAACUACGUGCCAGCAGCCGCGGUAAUACGUAGGGGGCAAGCGUUAUCCGGAUUUACUGGGUGUAAAGGGAGCGUAGACGGCGAUGCAAGCCAGAUGUGAAAGCCCGGGGCUCAACCCCGGGACUGCAUUUGGAACUGUGUGGCUGGAGUGUCGGAGAGGCAGGCGGAAUUCCUAGUGUAGCGGUGAAAUGCGUAGAUAUUAGGAGGAACACCAGUGGCGAAGGCGGCCUGCUGGACGAUGACUGACGUUGAGGCUCGAAAGCGUGGGGAGCAAACAGGAUUAGAUACCCGGGUAACG
Molecule: ribosomal RNA, 449 nt
Filed under: uncultured bacterium
Lineage: Bacteria
Description: bacterial SSU rRNA
Rfam family: Bacterial small subunit ribosomal RNA
Source: RNAcentral